This 831-nucleotide ribosomal RNA is filed under the name Triticum aestivum (bread wheat). RNAcentral's name for it is "partial small subunit ribosomal RNA". Lineage: Eukaryota; Viridiplantae; Streptophyta; Magnoliopsida; Poales; Poaceae. The record is from RNAcentral.
AUGAAGGGAGAAAUCAGCCAGUCGGAUUUGGUUAAGAAUCUCUUUGGUAUCUUUUGCAAGAACAAACAAUGGACAUGGCAGAUCAAGACGCUGUCGGAGAAGAAGUUCUUGGUUAGAUUCCCACCCUAGAAAGAUGUUGAAGAAUUGAUCGAAUUCCCUGCCUUUGAUCCGCCCAUCGACGGAGUCUCCGUGUCUGUGGAGAAGUGGACCGGCUCAAUUGACCCGUUCAGCGAGCUUGUUGAAGCAUGGGUGGUUGUUGAGGGUCUAUCGUCUAAAUGGUGCACAUGGAAAGUCCUUUCUCAGAUUGCUUCCUGCUUUGGAAUUCUUAUGGACGUGGAUUGGAAUGGUAUGAUGAAGAGCUUCUAUGAGAAAGUGAGGGUCAAAAUUGCUUGUAGAGACCCAACUAAGAUCCCCUUUGUAAGGAUUAUGGAGAUGAGGAAAAAACUCUAUAUCUUAUCCUUUACUGUGGAAGGCUUUGACCAGGUAGGAGCUGAUGAUCCUAAUGAUGAUGAUGGUCCUACUGACAUAACAGUGGAUGAGGACAAUAAGAUAACAGAUGAGGAGGAACUGGAUAAGGAUAUCCUGGAUGAUGGAGAGGAACCCAUUGAUGCCCUGGACCUGGCCAACAGAGCCCCCACAAAAACCCCAGCUGGGAAGAAAACAACUGAUGAUGGUGCUUUAUUCCACCCCCCUACUCUGUUGGAGGCAUGCUUCUCUCCUGUGAGAGUCAACAAGAAGACUAAUCAAGAAACUGUGACCCAGAGCGUGUGCUUAUCAAUCCCCUAUGCUGAGGCAAUUAAAACCCUCAGCAAUACACACAACAAAAAAUGA